RNAcentral lists this ribosomal RNA (1343 nucleotides) under Streptococcus pneumoniae. RNAcentral describes it as "bacterial SSU rRNA". The stretch from base 2 to 878 matches the Rfam family "Bacterial small subunit ribosomal RNA", at positions 9 to 873 of the family's 1533-position model. Lineage: Bacteria; Bacillati; Bacillota; Bacilli; Lactobacillales; Streptococcaceae. The record is from RNAcentral.
AGAGUUUGAUCCUGGCUCAGGACGAACGCUGGCGGCGUGCCUAAUACAUGCAAGUAGAACGCUGAAGGAGGAGCUUGCUUCUCUGGAUGAGUUGCGAACGGGUGAGUAACGCGUAGGUAACCUGCCUGGUAGCGGGGGAUAACUAUUGGAAACGAUAGCUAAUACCGCAUAAGAGUGGAUGUUGCAUGACAUUUGCUUAAAAGGUGCACUUGCAUCACUACCAGAUGGACCUGCGUUGUAUUAGCUAGUUGGUGGGGUAACGGCUCACCAAGGCGACGAUACAUAGCCGACCUGAGAGGGUGAUCGGCCACACUGGGACUGAGACACGGCCCAGACUCCUACGGGAGGCAGCAGUAGGGAAUCUUCGGCAAUGGACGGAAGUCUGACCGAGCAACGCCGCGUGAGUGAAGAAGGUUUUCGGAUCGUAAAGCUCUGUUGUAAGAGAAGAACGAGUGUGAGAGUGGAAAGUUCACACUGUGACGGUAUCUUACCAGAAAGGGACGGCUAACUACGUGCCAGCAGCCGCGGUAAUACGUAGGUCCCGAGCGUUGUCCGGAUUUAUUGGGCGUAAAGCGAGCGCAGGCGGUUAGAUAAGUCUGAAGUUAAAGGCUGUGGCUUAACCAUAGUAGGCUUUGGAAACUGUUUAACUUGAGUGCAAGAGGGGAGAGUGGAAUUCCAUGUGUAGCGGUGAAAUGCGUAGAUAUAUGGAGGAACACCGGUGGCGAAAGCGGCUCUCUGGCUUGUAACUGACGCUGAGGCUCGAAAGCGUGGGGAGCAAACAGGAUUAGAUACCCUGGUAGUCCACGCUGUAAACGAUGAGUGCUAGGUGNUGCGAUGCCUCAACCUUGAAUUGGUCGAAUUCUUUUUACAGUUUCACCAGCUAAACCAACUCAUUGUAGAUAUCGAUUCUACCCAUUUCACAACUUAUGGCAAGCAAGAAGGUGUUGCUUAUAACGCCCACUAUCGUGCUCAUGGCUAUCAUCCUCUUUAUGCUUUCGAGGGGAAGACAGGUUAUUGUUUCAAUGCCCAGCUUCGUCCUGGUAAUCGUUAUUGUUCUGAAGAGGCAGACAGCUUUAUCACACCUGUUUUAGAACGGUUUAAUCAACUUCUCUUUCGAAUGGAUAGUGGCUUUGCGACCCCAAAAUUAUACGAUUUAAUUGAAAAAACAGGGCAAUACUACCUCAUAAAACUCAAGAAAAAUACUGUUCUGAGCCGUCUUGGAGACCUUUCCCUCCCUUGCCCACAGGAUGAGGACUUAACCAUCUUGCCCCACUCCGCCUACUCAGAAACUCUCUAUCAAGCAGGAUCUUGGUCGCACAAGCGUCGUGUCUGCCAGUUCUCUG